AUGGCAGCGAUGAGAGCCCCCAUCAAAACUGCCGUCCACGAACAGGGGAGGAGAACUGCAACAUCAACAAUGGUGGCUGUGCUCAGAAGUGCCAGAUGGUACGAGGGAUGGUGCAGUGCACCUGCCACACAGGUUACAGGCUCCUGGAAGACGGCCGAUCAUGCCAAGAUGUGAAUGAAUGUGCUGAGGAAGGCUACUGCAGCCAAGGCUGUACCAACAGUGAAGGAGGUUUCCAGUGCUGGUGUGAGCAAGGCUACGAGCUGCGACCUGACAAGCGUAGCUGCAAAGCUCUAGGGCCAGAGCCAGUGCUGCUCUUUGCCAAUCGAAUCGAUAUCCGACAAGUGUUGCCUCACCGCUCAGAGUAUACGCUGCUCCUGAACAACCUGGAAAACGCCAUCGCCCUUGACUUCCACCACAGCAAGGAGCUGGUGUUCUGGUCUGACGUCACCCUCGAUCGCAUCAUGAGGGCCAAUCUGAACGGUAGCAACGUGGAAGAGGUGGUUUCCACAGGGCUGGAGAGCCCAGGUGGGCUUGCUAUUGACUGGAUCCACGACAAAUUAUACUGGACAGACUCUGGGACAUCUCGAAUCGAAGUAGCAAACUUGGAUGGCACUCACAGGAAAGUGCUUUUGUGGCAGAACCUGGAGAAGCCCCGAGCAAUUGCCCUACAUCCUAUGGAGGGCACUAUCUACUGGACCGACUGGGGCAACACUCCCCGCAUUGAGUAUUCCAACAUGGAUGGCUCUAACCGGCGCAUCAUUGCGGACACGCACCUCUUCUGGCCCAACGGACUGACCAUUGACUAUGCAGGACACCGAAUGUACUGGGUGGAUGCCAAACAUCACGUCAUUGAGAGAGCCGACCUUGACGGGCGGAAUAGGAAGGCUGUUAUUAGCCAAGGCCUCCCCCACCCAUUUGCUAUCACUGUGUUUGAGGACAGUUUGUACUGGACAGACUGGCACACCAAGAGCAUCAACAGCGCCAACAAAUUCACGGGCAAGAACCAGGAGAUCAUCCGCAACAAGCUCCACUUCCCUAUGGACAUCCACACGCUGCACCCUCAGCGCCAGCCAGCAGCAGGGAGAAACCGUUGUGGGGCCAACAACGGGGGCUGUACUCACCUCUGCCUGCCCAGCAGCAAGGAUUACACCUGCGCCUGCCCCACGGGCUUCCGCAAGACCAGCAGCCAUGCCUGCGCCCAGAGUCUUGACAAGUUCCUGCUUUUUGCCCGAAGGAUGGACAUCCGUCGGAUCAGCUUUGACACAGAUGACCUGUCAGAUGAUGUCAUCCCCCUUGCUGAUGUUCGCAGCGCUGUGGCUCUAGACUGGGACUCAAAGGAUGACUACGUCUACUGGACAGAUGUUAGCACCGACUCAAUCAGCCGAGCAAAAUGGGAUGGAUCAAGUCAAGAGGUUGUAGUGGACACCAGCCUGGAGAGUCCAGCUGGACUGGCAAUUGACUGGGUCACCAACAAACUAUACUGGACUGAUGCAGGAACAGAUCGGAUAGAGGUCUCCAACACAGAUGGGACCAUGAGAACUGUUCUAAUCUGGGAGAACCUAGACAGACCUAGAGAUAUUGUGGUGGACCCAGUUGGAGGGUUCAUGUACUGGACUGACUGGGGAGCCAGCCCCAAAAUUGAGCGCGCUGGUAUGGAUGCCUCAAACCGCUUGGUGAUCAUUUCUUCCAACCUGACGUGGCCUAACGGCCUGGCCAUUGACUACGAGUCGCAGCGCUUGUACUGGGCAGACGCGGGCAUGAAGACCAUCGAGUAUGCCAGCCUGGAUGGGAACAACAGGAAGGUGCUGAUUGGGAGCAAUCUGCCUCACCCCUUUGGACUUACUCUUUAUGGCGAGAGAAUCUACUGGACAGACUGGCAGGCCAAAAGCAUCCAGAGCGCAGAUAGAAGGACUGGGCAGGCUCGGGAAACGCUGCAGGACAAUCUGGAGAAUCUUAUGGAUAUUCAUGUUUUCCACCGGCACAGGCCACCAGUGCGUACAGCAUGUCAAGUUGGCAAUGGAGGCUGCAGCCACCUGUGCCUUUUGGCACCUCUUCCAAAAGGUUACAGCUGUACCUGCCCUACUGGGAUCAACCUGCAAUCCGAUGGCAAGACCUGCUCCCCUGGAAUGACCAGCUUUCUGAUCUUUGCCAGAAGGACUGACAUCCGCAUGGUGUCUCUGGAUAUUCCCUACUUUGCAGAUGUUGUCAUCUCAGUCAACGUCACCAUGAAGAACACCAUUGCGAUUGGAGUGGAUCCUCGUGAAGGAAAGGUUUACUGGUCAGACAGUACUCUGCGGAAAAUCAGCCGGGCUGCCCUAGAUGGCUCACAAUUUGAGGACAUCAUCACUACAGGUCUGUUGACUACAGAUGGACUGGCUGUGGAUGCUAUUGGCAGGAAGAUAUAUUGGACAGAUACAGGAACAAACCGGAUUGAAGUGGGCAACCUUGAUGGCUCCAUGAGGAAAGUCUUGGUCUGGCAGAACCUGGACAGCCCUCGAGCAAUAGCUUUAUACCAUGAGAUGGGGUACAUGUACUGGACGGACUGGGGUGAGAAUGCCAAGCUGGAACGCUCUGGGAUGGAUGGCUCUGGACGUGUGGUGUUGAUCAGCAACAACCUGGGCUGGCCUAACGGACUGGCAGUGGAUAAGGCUGGGUCCCAGCUGCUCUGGGCUGAUGCACACACUGAGCGUAUCGAGGCUGCAGAUCUCAACGGCGCGAACCGCCGCACCCUGCUGUCUCCGGUGCAACAUCCAUACGGCCUCACUUUGCUGGACUCUUACAUCUACUGGACAGACUGGCAAACUCGCAGCAUUCACAGGGCUGAUAAGGACACUGGUGCCAAUGUCAUCUUGGUGAGGGCAAACCUGCCUGGCCUCAUGGACAUCCAGGCUGUGGAUAGGGCACGGCCCCUGGGCUUCAAUAAAUGUGGAGUUCGUAAUGGUGGCUGCUCUCACCUUUGCUUGCCUCACCCCACGGGCUUCUCCUGUGCCUGCCCCACUGGCAUCCAGCUGAAGAGAGAUGAGCAGACAUGUGACUCUUCUCCAGAGACCUACCUACUUUUCUCUAGCCGUGCUUCCAUCCGCCGUAUCUCGCUGGACACCAGUGACCACACAGAUGUGCACAUACCUGUCCCUGAGUUGAACAACGUCAUUUCUCUGGACUAUGACAGUGUUGACGGCAAGAUUUACUACACAGAUGUAUUUCUUGAUGUCAUCAGGAGGUCGGAUCUGAACGGCAGCAACAUGGAAACUGUUAUUGGUCAGGGUCUGAAGACUACAGAUGGCCUGGCAGUGGACUGGGUUGCCAGGAACCUUUACUGGACAGACACAGGACGCAAUACCAUCGAAGUAGCUAGACUGGAUGGAAGCUCCAGGAAAGUGCUGAUCAAUAACAGCCUGGAUGAGCCCCGAGCCAUCGCUGUCUUUCCCAAGAAGGGGUACCUCUUCUGGACAGAUUGGGGUCACAUUGCUAAAAUUGAACGAGCAAACUUGGACGGCUCUGAACGUAAAAUCCUGAUUAACACUGACCUGGGAUGGCCCAAUGGAUUGACUUUGGAUUAUGACACCAGGAGGAUUUACUGGGUGGACGCGCAUCUUGAUCGUAUAGAGAGCUGCGAUCUCAAUGGAAAGCUGCGGCAAGUGUUGGUCAGCCAGGUGUCACAUCCCUUUGCUCUCACACAGCAGGAUAGGUGGAUAUACUGGACUGACUGGCAAACCAAAUCUAUCCAGAGAGUGGACAAAUACUCCGGGCGGAACAAAGAGACAGUCCUGGCCAAUGUUGAGGGACUGAUGGACAUCAUUGUUGUUUCCCCUCAGAGACAGACAGGUACUAAUGCUUGCGGAGUGAACAAUGGAGGCUGCACUCACCUCUGCUUCGCCAGGGCUUCUGACUUCGUCUGCGCGUGUCCGGAUGAACCAGAUGGGCGGCCCUGUUCUACCAUUCCUGGUGUGGUGCCCCCUGGUCCUGAACCCACCAGGGUAAGUGAGAGAAGUCAGACACCACCUGGCAGAGUAGAUACCUCAACAACCAAACCUCUCACGUCUCUGGAAGCAGUGGAAGGAAACUGCUCUGACAAAGACGCGAGGCGAGGCUUGUGUACCCACGCCAACGAGGCAGUGUUGGCAACCAUGGGAGAAGGACUGCACGUCAGCUACAUUAUUGGAGGUCUUCUCAGCAUCCUGUUUAUUUUGCUGCUUAUUGCUGCUUUGAUUAUAUAUAGGCACAAUAAGUCCAAGUUCACCGACCCUGGCUUGGGGAACCUAACCUACAGUAAUCCUUCAUAUCGGACGUCUACCCAGGAGGUGAAGAUUGAAGCGAUUCCCAAACCAACCAUGUACAACCAGUUGUGCUAUAAGAAAGAGACUGGUCCUGACCACAGCUACACCAAGGAGAAGAUCAAGAUCGUGGAGGGGAUAUGCCUUUUAUCCGGUGAUGAUUCCGAGUGGGAUGACCUUAAGCAGAUUCGGAGCUCCCGAGGAGGGAUCCUCCGUGACCACGUCUGCAUGAAGACAGACACGGUCUCCAUCCAGGCGAGUUCGGGUUCACUGGACGAUACCGAAACUGAGCAGCUGCUACAGGAGGAACAGUCUGAGUGCAGCAGUGUGAACACAGCAGCAGCCACCCCUGAACGGCGUGGCUCGCUCCCAGACACAGGCUGGAAACACCAACGCAAGCCCUCCACGGAGAGCGAGGUCUAAAGUACGCGCGACUUUGGAAACGCUCGUACCCUCCUUCGCCUCUGCUCUGCACAAAAAGAAAAAAAAAAAAAUAUACAGACAGGACUCUGCCUGCUGGGCAAGGAAGGGGACAGAGACCAGCCUCUCGCGCGAGUGGCCCAGAGACUGUGACUGCCUUUCAGCGAGGAGCUUGGGCAGCUGUGCUGUUGUGGUUGGAGAGGGAGGAUGGGUGGGUUGGAACCCAGAGACCCUUUUUGGCUCAUUUUCACUGUCUGUGGUUUAUUUAUAUAUUCCCUUUUCCUGGAAGCUGCCACGUUUAACUUUUGCAGUGACUCCUCUGGCCUGAAUCCGGUUUGGGUUCUGUUUUCUCUGGCAACCUGCAAGUCCUGUGCCAUCCAACUCACGGUCAAUGCCCAAGAGGAGAGCAAGAGCUGCCUCAUUGCUAGCUCCUGGUCACAGAAGUUCCCUGUGUCAUUCCAGUGCUAACAGCACCCUUUGAGGCUUUGUGUUGAGGGGUCUCUGACUUGAGAGAGGUCCUGGAAUAGAUGGAGGAUAGUUUGGGGCUCGAGGGGACGCUGACACAGCAUCAGGUCACUCUUUAAGGGCAUGAAAGAAGGUAACCACAGUUGCCAUGGGUUUCUUCCUGAGAGCAUCACUGCUUACUUUCCCAUCUGCUAGUAAAUACUUUAAGGGAUUCUCGGAUUGGAGCACUGUGUCUGUUGCUGGCAGUGGACACUGCUCCUGUUCUCCCAUUUCCUGUUCAAAGAUGUUUCUACUCUGGAAAAACAAGAGUCAGCAAAUGGUCCUUUCUGAACUGCUCCCUGUGAGGUCCCAGUGCUGUUCUUGAGAAGAGAUUGGUGGUGUUCUGAGCUCUACAGAGUUGAUGGGAGGAAAUGGAUCUCAGCAAGACCUAAUUUCUACUCUGGUCUUUGCAUAACUGAUACAUAAAGAAAAGAAAACUUUCUAAGUCCCCACCAGUCCCAAUUCUGCAAGGUCCCAAUUCUCUUGGCCUUUAGGACCUUUGAUUACCGUAAUGAGGGAAAAGAGAGAAUUCCUAGGUCAAGUCUUUCCCAGGGGAAUGCUCAGUGCUGACAGUUAGGAGCUGCUUUAUUACCAGGCGGAGCGCGUUUGACCUAGAAUAGGAGACAAUAAGCAGGGAGCUGUAAGGGUCGUUUAAAAUAGUUGUUUAUUGGAUAGAAUUGCACUUUAAGCUCUUGUGUUACCGCUAAAAAGCUCUCUUUGCCAAGUCCUUUUCCCAUCAGCUGCCUGAGCUUCAGGUGUUCUCUGGCCUCCGAGGCUUUUGUCCUCUAAAAGGUCUAAUCCCACCCUCGCAGUUCCACCCCAGCACCAUCCGAUGCUCCCAGGGACUGUUGCCACCUUCUCAUAUUCUCUUGACUUCUCUUGUCACCUGUUUGGUCAGAGGGGAGAAAAAAUAGAGAAAACAUCUCUCGAUGGAUUUGUAUUAACCCCUGGAGUCAUAUGACUGCUCUCACGGUAAAAUCUUGAGUGUUAAGCCGGAUCUUUGGGAGCAGAACUUUCCAGUGAAGAAUUUCUAGUGGCAAACUCUGUAACCUCUUUAUCUCCUGGGAAGACACCAAGUACAUUCCCACCUGUGGUGUAGAGAGAGCAAGACAUACCCUAGGGGUAUGGCUUAGAGGUGUGGGGAGGGUGCAUCUCCCAGGUGUUAUUUUUCCAGCUGGUACAAAAGUAAAAAAAAAAAAAAAGAUAAAAAAAAAGGGAAAUACAUCCUACUCUGCUCUAACCUUGUUCGUGUACUAACAGUUGUGCUACUCCUGAAAAGCAGGGUGGUUGCCAGCGGGUUGGCUGCACUUCUUACAGCAGAGGUGGCUUUGCAAACCUGGAGCUAAGGCUUGGAAAUUUCCCUGUGUUAAUGUGGGACUCUUCCCUACUCCCAGUGGGAUUUUUAAUUUUUUUUUUAAUUUUUUUUUUUUUCCAAAAUUAGAUUUUUUUAUUUAAUUAUUUAUUUGAUUGACUCCAGCCUGGGAAGCAUUGUUUUUAUUGGGCAGAGGCACUUUUGGAUUGAGGCGUGGACUCGACUGGGACCUGAGAAAGGAGGGCAUAUCCCUGACAUGGGCCUUGCCUGGUGAAGCUGCCUCGUGCAGGGACAUCACCUGAGGGCUCAAGGGUGGGCAGAAGAAUCCACUGCAACAGAAACCGUGUGUUAGGGGCAUCAGAGCUGGGAGUGGGGGGGAUACAUGGGGGAGGAGGAAGGCUCUGGUUUCUAGGAGAAGCAGGGUUUCUAUGGGUUUGGGAGGGAAGAGGGUGUUGCCCCAAUGUGCACCAAAAUCUUGAGGUGGUGGGACAGGGGUGAAGGGAAACACCCACCCAGACCCUGUCACUUUAGGUUCAGUCAGCCUGACAGAAUAAUUGCCUGAUUUGCAAGUGCAGAAGGGAAAGAGGGGAAAAAAACCCAACCCAGUCAGUCUUUUCAACACCUUGGUGGUGCUUGGGAUUUCCACCUUGACAAAUAAUCUCUGCUGCUUCUCAGGAGGGACCCUGCACGCUCCAGCCUAACAACCACCUGCUCUCUGCUCCCUUCCUCAAAUGAUUAUGGCACAAAAAGAAAAAAAAAAAAAAGGAGCAUCAAAAUGUCCACCAGCCUCUCCUCUACCACGGAGGUGGGCAGGAAUUAGUUUCUUCUUCCCAGAGACGACCCCAGUGAGAUGCUUCCUAUGGGGGGGUACAUCAUGGUUCCCCGUUCUGGGGAAGAGAAGACCCUCGUUGCACUUAGGAUGUUAAGAAUGUAGAAAGGCCACUGGAGGAUGAUCUCUUGAGCACUGAUUUACUGUGUAAAAAAAAAAAAAAAAAAAAAAAAAAA
This is an RNA transcript of Calidris pugnax (ruff), 7515 nucleotides long. It is a transcript of the gene named LDL receptor related protein 4, with no coding region annotated. The transcript is spliced from 31 exons. NCBI's taxonomy places the organism in Eukaryota, Metazoa, Chordata, Aves, Charadriiformes, Scolopacidae. The record is from RefSeq and is a predicted model, not a curated record.